This 484-nucleotide ribosomal RNA is filed under the name uncultured bacterium. RNAcentral describes it as "partial 16S ribosomal RNA". It matches the Rfam family "Bacterial small subunit ribosomal RNA", at positions 30 to 507 of the family's 1533-position model. The record is from RNAcentral.
AUUGAACGCUGGCGGCAGGCCUAACACAUGCAAGUCGAGCGGAUGAAGGGAGCUUGCUCCUGGAUUCAGCGGCGGACGGGUGAGUAAUGCCUAGGAAUCUGCCUGGUAGUGGGGGAUAACGUCCGGAAACGGGCGCUAAUACCGCAUACGUCCUGCGGGAGAAAGUGGGGGAUCUUCGGACCUCACGCUAUCAGAUGAGCCUAGGUCGGAUUAGCUAGUUGGUGGGGUAAAGGCCUACCAAGGCGACGAUCCGUAACUGGUCUGAGAGGAUGAUCAGUCACACUGGAACUGAGCCGCGGUCCAGACUACUACGGGAGGCAGCAGUGGGGAAUAUUGGACAAUGGGCGAAAGCCUGAUCCAGCCAUGCCGCGUGUGUGAAGAAGGUCUUCGGAUUGUAAAGCACUUUAAGUUGGGAGGAAGGGCAGUAAGUUAAUACCUUGCUGUUUUGACGUUACCAACAGAAUAAGCACCGGCUAACUUCGUG